Heterocephalus glaber (naked mole-rat) is the source of this 1628-nucleotide long non-coding RNA. The record is from Ensembl. NCBI's taxonomy places the organism in Eukaryota, Metazoa, Chordata, Mammalia, Rodentia, Bathyergidae.
GGCACAGCGGGCAGGACACUGACCCUUCUUGGAGGCCAGGAAGAGGCCUUGUGAGCAGCAGGAGGUAAGGGGGCUCCUCCAUGCUCGCUCCCCGUUUGGGGAGAGAAAGCGUCGGUGGGCAGGAGUGCCCUACCCUGCUCCCCAGGGCCCCCAGGCAAAGCCCCUGCCCUGUGGAUGCUGACAUUCUGCUGCCUAAGAGGGGCGGCCUCCAUCCUGUUCUGGGUACAUCAACUUCAGGAAGCCCCACACUGGAAGACUGCCAGGGAGCAAGGACGAGGCCUGGGAAGGGAAAAAUAAGGUGAACACACUGACAAGAAGAAGCCCAAAGGAGGGUCAAGACAAGCCUAAAAAGUAGGUGACCAGGUGUCCCCAGCAAGAUGUGGCCAAUGCAGUCCACCAAGGGGAUCUCCUCUCUGGAGGAGCCUCAAGGUCACGAACUCCGUGGAUCUCGGGUUGUUAUUCAUCCCCAGACUCUGUUAGGCACCAGGCCCCAGGGUCCUGACUCCACGCCCACCCUACCACCCCUCCACCCCAUGUGGCAGCCAGCUCUCUAUGCUGAAUGAAGACACCCAUUCAGGUCCACUUGAACUAAGGUCCACUCUGAACUAAGAUAUCCACUCAGGUAUGGAGGGAAGUCAUGGCCUCACCCUCAAGCACAUCAACUCUCUGGGCUCUUUCCCUGCUGUCUGCUCAGAGGCCACCUUCAAAAGCAAGACCAUGGCCAAGCAUGGUGGUGUGCACCCGUAGUCCAGCACUCAUGAGGCCAAGGGAAGAAGGGAACAAGUUUGAGCCCAGCCUUAGCGAUUUAGGGAGACCCUGUCUCAAACACACACACACAAGAUUGUUGCCUUUGUGCCUGCCCUGGAUUUCCUUCAUCUAUGCAGUGGAUGCAGAAGACUCCAGAGCCUGCUCAUGGGCCCCAGCAGUCUCUGGCAGGAGGUGUCCCCACCCUACUGAGGGCCUCUGAGGGAUAUCUCUGCCCUGCUGCCCUACAUGUUGUCCUGGCUGAGUGUGCUUCUGCAGCCUUCUCCUGCCCUCCUUAGAGGUCCCUUCCUUUCAGUACACAACAAGGUCCAGAUCACCACUUCCUACCCUGCCACAGAGCAGGCACAGCUCUCCUGGAUCCUCAGGGCUAUGUGUGUCCCAGGGGCCAUGGAGGGCACCCCAAACACAGAGCACCAGGCAGAGCGUCCUGUGGCCAGCUGAAUAAUGCCCCCUCCAGAGAUGUCAAAGUCUGAAUGGAAAUGUGAAUAUAUCAUCUUCUGUGACAGAAGAAUGGAGCAGAUGUGACUCGGUUAGAGAUUGAGAUGGAGAUUAUUCUUGAUCACCUGGAUGGGCAGGAUCUAGUCGCCAGGGCCUUCACAAGACAGAGAAUGAGGAUGAAGGUUGAAAGAAGGUGUGACAAAGGAAACAGAGGCAAAAGAAAGAGGAGAGAAGAUGCUGCAUGGUUUGCCUGCAAGAUGGAGGAAGUGGGACCAUCCCUGAAAGACAGGUGGCCUCUAGGAACUAGAAAGGCAAGGUACAGCCCCUCUCCCGGGUCUGCAGAGGAAAGCAGGCUCCAACAUGGUCUCUCGGCCCCUUGAGACUGCUUUUGGUCUUUGUCCCCCCAGAACCAGAUGAUAGUAAAC